GUGAUUUAUGAAACAAUAAUAGCAUCAUCCAAACACGGUGUUGACGGUUAUUUACACGGUUGCAGGAAGAGGAAGAGGAAAUUUUUUUCAUUAAAAGGUUAGAAAGCAAAAUAAUCAAUUAUUUCAUUGGAUGUGUGAGUAGAAAAAGGAUUAAUGAAGUGGAUUCAGCGGAAAAUAUAUCUUUACAAUGUGACUUUUGGUCUUUAUAUGCUCGACUGGUGGGAACGUUAUCUCUUCAAUACAUUGGUGCUUGUAUUGUUGUGGUUUAUUUGUCUUAACGCCUCGAAAUAUGCUUCCCAGAUUUUCAAAAGGUUGUAGACUUUGUAUUUGGUAAAGCUUUUGAGAAGCAUUGGAUUCGUGAUACUUAAAGAAAAUUCACGGGGUUCUUGGUGAUAGCAUUAUGUAAAUGUUAUUGUGAAAGCUGAUUGGUAAUGUCAGACAAGACAAUUUAGUUUGGGAAGUUGAAGAUGCAACUUUCCCGUAAUAUAACCUGAGUGUGAAUGGAUGUGAUAAAUCAAGCCUAUACUACAAGGCAGAUGUGGUGAAAGUUCAUGAGCUUUACAAGACCGUUGUUAAUUGUAACUAGAAAACGUGUGGUCUUUUGGCGUGUAAUCUCUAGAAAUGAUUCAUGUCGUAAGGAAUACUCUCGUUAAAUGUUCCCUUCCUUUUGUUUGUGAACCAAGAUGUAUAUCUGGAGAAGCAGUAGUGAUCCAGAUUGAAGAAUGCUUUGAAAUUGGUUAGUCAAUUUGGGGCCAGUGGUUAGUCGAAA
This is an RNA transcript of Capsicum annuum, 769 nucleotides long. RefSeq lists it as uncharacterized. The transcript is spliced from 4 exons. The record is from RefSeq and is a predicted model, not a curated record. Lineage: Eukaryota; Viridiplantae; Streptophyta; Magnoliopsida; Solanales; Solanaceae.